This 1471-nucleotide long non-coding RNA is filed under the name Sus scrofa (pig). RNAcentral describes it as "lncRNA (ENSSSCG00025017648.1, ENSSSCG00045006750.1)". Lineage: Eukaryota; Metazoa; Chordata; Mammalia; Artiodactyla; Suidae. The record is from RNAcentral.
GGUGACCUGUUGAAACAUUGCAUCCAAGCUUGGCGACUAACCUCUUGAGGAAUGAAAGAGGUUUCAGAGGAACAGGACAAACUCUGGGAUAGGCUUUGUGGCCAAGUGAUCGGCACAUCGUAAUCAAUACAUGUUUGUUCAUGAAAAAUGACCGAAAAGGGGAGGUGUUUGAAAAGACAGGAGGAGGAGGAGGAGGAGGAAGGAGCUGCGUGCUGGUUGCCGGUGUCUUCAAUCAUGGUUUAGCUGUACUUGCUACACGUUACAGGCACAUCGCCCGCCUGCUUUUGUGCUGGGAUUGAGUUUACCUUAAAGCAGGGUGGGAUUUAGGCCUAAGAUGGACUUGGUCUAACCCCCCAGAGAAGAAUCUGUCAGCUCCAGGCUCUCUGAGCUCUUACUUGCCUGUUGCGCAAAGCUGGGUCUAACAUCCCUAGACACUCAAUAAGCAUCUGUAGGAUAACUGAGAACAGAGCCAUCUUCGGGUGUUCAGCUGCCCAAAUGCACUGAAAUCCUCAUUCAAUGUCGUAAAAGUGUUAUUGGUUCUGGGAAGCCAGGUGGCAGAAUUGUAGUGCAGAUCGUGCCUGGGAGAUAAUGAAGCGGCGCUGACCCGGGCUGUGGAGGCCAGAGAGGCCUGCCACGGCGUCUGGAAGAACAUGGCACUUAGAAGAGGGCACAGGAGGACAAGCCAGCCACCACGGCGCGAGAAGAAGCCGCCGGAAAGAUGGAUAAGUGGAGUCUCAGAGGGAGAAGUGACACAGCCCAAAUCACACAGCUGGGCAGCGACCGAGCCGAAGACCUUGGGCACCACCUUUCCUCCUGCAGGUCACCCUCCCUAACCACCUUUGGCUCUGCAACAAUCCAGAAGAUUUCACGAGGUCUCUUUGCUGCACUUCCGGAAGGAGGUGGUGGGAUCAUGACGGGCCACUAUCCUUCAGGUCACUGCCCAACCUGUUCAAUAUUCUCUUGUCAAUUUGGUGCCAGUUUGUGACAAUAAUCCCUCAAGGGCCAUUCCUGAUACAGCAAGACAGGCAUUUUCAGACGUGGCCCUAUUUCACCUUCUUGAUCUGUUUUCUCGCCCUCCUCCUUGUCCCACCCCUGCUGUUCUCUUUAAUCCCCUGAGUGCAUUAUUCGUAAUAGUGAAAUGUCCUAGAGGGCUUACCAUGUGCUGGGCAUCAUGCCGAGGAGUUGCUGUGACAUCAUUUCAUUUAAUUUUUUCUAAAUAUCAUAUUAGUAGAUGCUAUUAUACCCAUUUGACAGAGGAAGUAACUGAGAUUUGGAAAGGCUAGAUGACUUGCCCAAGGUCACCCCACAGCAGAUGGGAAGACCUAGGGCUUGAACCCAGGCAGAUCCCAUCGCCUUUGCCGCGACCCGAAACUUCAGACACUGCAAACCCACGGCCUGUGAGUCAAAUUUGGCUUACGGGUAUAUUUCGUUUGGCUCACAUCGUACUUAAAAAAAAAAAAAAAAAAAAAAA